This is a long non-coding RNA of Oncorhynchus masou masou (cherry salmon), 3801 nucleotides long. RefSeq lists it as uncharacterized. The transcript is spliced from 2 exons. NCBI's taxonomy places the organism in Eukaryota, Metazoa, Chordata, Actinopteri, Salmoniformes, Salmonidae. The record is from RefSeq and is a predicted model, not a curated record.
CUCAGUUUGUGGUGGAGGUCAUUGCAGUACCAUGUACUGCUAGCAGUGUUUUAGCCAAAGACUGUUAUGCUAGCUGUCUAGUCUGUGUUUUAUAAAUGUGCAAUAAGCAUAAAAAUAUGCAUUUGUAUAAGGAGUUGGCAACUUGUUCUCAUUCUGAAAAAUAAGGUAGGCCACUUGAUUUCAACAUCUGGACAAAGAGGACAGGCUAGCAUGCUGUUCAAACAGUUGGAGAUGGACAGAAGGGUGUGUUCAUAACAAAUUCAACUGUUCUGCCUUGUUAGCUAGCAAAUAGAUCCAAGUUGGCUAAACUUGAAGUAUAAAGAUUAGCUGGUUACUCACUAGCAUGUAGGCUUGCGCUUGAGAGAUUGUUUCAUGAGCCCGGUGUUCAUUUUCUAUAACGCAUGCAACAAGAAGUUAGUAAUUAUUAGUGAAUGUGCAUUAUGCAUGGUUCUGGUAAAAUUUUGUAACAAAAAGGGCCUUUUCAUAGACUGACUUGAUCGGUGAUUAUUGCAAAGAAGCAGCUUAAACUAUUUUGAUAAAAUAAUGAAAUUAUUAGUGGGUCCAAUGCAGUGGCGAUCCGUCAUUCAGGGCCGCUUGUCGGUAAAAAACACAUUUGUUUAAGCAAGUCAGUUAUGUUUUUUUUAAUGCAGUAAAUGAGGCUGAAUUAACUGUUUCGCUGCCUGACAAGGCUCCGCUGAUAGCCAGGUUUAGAGGUGGUAAGGAUCCACUCCAUGGUGCUGAAAAGAAAGCUCUGCUGUUGGGACAGUUUUCUGUAGGCCGUAACAGUUUGUGGGCACCAUUUGUCACCAUCAUAGUGCAAUUAAUGUAUUGUUUAGUGUUGUGUUGUGUAGUGGCUUUGCUGGAAUUCAUCUAAAAAAUAGUUUUUUAGUUUACAAGAUUAACAUGCUAAAAUCGCAACUGGUCCUAUGGUUGUGGAAGGCUGAUAUUUAGGGUUGCAAAGGGUCGGAAACGUUCCGGUAAAUUUUCAGAGUUUUUCUGGAAAUUGUCCUUGGGAAGUUAAUCCCAGGAAUUUUGCUUAAAAUCAUCGAAAAUGUAGUUUAUAACAGUGAACCUUUUUUUGUGGGAUACACAUAAGGCAAUUCUAGGUCUUGUGGCAUAUUUUGGUUAAACUAUCCCCAAUUCAAUGGAAUUGCAACCCUCUGCAUGCACAGUGCAUUCUUCCAUCACAUGUGCAGUGCAGUCUUCAAUCACAUGUACAUCUGAUUCUCAAGAUCUUGCGAACUAAUGAGAUGCUAUUGAGCCCACACUACUACACUGUCUGAGCCAAGGACUACAUGCUUUCUGGAAAAUGCCACGGUCACUAUCUGAUGUGUGGAGACAUUUCACUGCAGCUAAUGUAGAAGGAAAAGCUGUGUAUAUGUGCAAAUACUGUGCCAAAUCAUAUGUGAAGAAUGCAACAAAGAUGCAGAAUCAUCUGGCCAUGUGCAUAACGUUCCCUCAGAGCUCACAACAAGCAACCUCUGACCAAAGUCCCUCUACUUCUAUUCGAGGUGAAAAUUAUGAAUCAGACACCUUAUCGAUAGCAACAGCUCAUGGUCCUCCUGCAAUCAGAAGUUUUUUUGACUCAAUGGAAGAACAUAGUCAGAAAAAUGCUGAUGAAUGUCUUGCUUGAGGUGUGGAUGCAACUGCUUCACCUCUGAUGCUCACAGGCAAUGUGUAUUGGAAGAGAUUUUUCAAUGUUCUUCGCCCAGCAUACACUCUUCCAACCAGACAUGCUUUAUCUACUAAUUUGCUGGAUGCAGAUUUCAACAGAGUUCAAGUGAAGGUCAGGCAGAUCAUAGAGAAAGCAGACUGUAUUGCAAUCAUCUCUGAUGGGUGGUCAAAUGUUCAUGGGCAAGGAAUAAUUAAUUAUAUCAUCUCCACCCCAUAACCAGUAUUCCACAAGAGCACAGACACAAGGGACAAAAGACACACUGGUCUCUACAUUGCAGAUGAGCUGAAGGCAGUCAGACAGACAAUUCUGUGAACAUGAAGGCUGCUUGGUCUAAAGUGGAGGAGUCUUACCCUCAAAUCACACCCAUUGGCUAUGCUGCUCAUGCAUUGAAUCUGAUCCUCAAGGACAUCAUGGCACUGAAAACAAUGGAUACACUCUACAAGAUAGCCAAGGAAAUGGUUAGGUAUGUGAAGUGUCAUCAAGUUAUAUCAGCAAUCUACCGCACCAAGCAAAGUGAGAAGAAUAAGAGCACCACAUUGAAGCUGCCCAGCAACACCCGUUGGGGGUGUUGUUGUCAUCAUGUUUGACAGUCUCCUGGAGGAGAAGGAGUCUCUCCAAGAAAUGGCCAUUUCACAGUCUGCCGAUAUGGACAGCCCCAUCAAGAGGAUCCUCCUGGAUGAUGUAUUUUGGGAGAGAGUGGUAAGCAGCCUGAAACUCCUGAACCCUAUAGCAGUAGCCAUUACACGGAUUGAGGGAGACAAUGCCAUCCUGUCUUGUGUUCAGACUCUGCUUGCAUAUGUAAGAGAAGAAAUCCGUACUGUCCUGCCCACUUCACUGUUGCUCCAAGCAAAGGAAACUGCAGUUCUGAAAUACAUCAAAAAGCGUGAAGACUUCUGCCUGAAGCCCAUACACGCCACAGUGUACAUGUUGUUGGACCCUAAGUAUGCUGGCAAGAGCAUCCUGUUUGGUGCAAAGAUCAACAUGGCAUAUAGUGUCACCACUAUCGUGUCUCACCACCUUGGCCUGCAAGUAUGGCAGUUGUGCCAACAUAUCUCAUCAGCCACCUGGUGGAAGGGACUUGUUGGAUUUGAGGCUCUUUCCCCUGUUGCCUCCAUCAUCCUCCAAAUCCCACCAACAUCAGCCACCUCAGAGCGCAACUGGUCCUUGUUUGGGAACACACACACCAAAGCACGCAACAGGCUGGCCAAUAAAAGUGUUGGCCAUCUGGGCAAAUUUGAGGCUUUUUGAGCCUGACAACGAGCCAUCCUUAACAAGGUUGGAAAGUUACAGUGAAGAUGAGGCCUCAGAGUCUGAUGUUGAAGACGUGGACAUUGAGGAAGUCCAGGGAGAAGACAUGGAAGCCCGAGGGGAAGACACCCAAAGCUUUAGUUUCUUGACAAUCAUUUGUUGGAAACGUUUUUGGGAGAUGCGAUGGAUCAUUGGGGAUCAUUCAAUAUUCCCUUUCUUUUGUUGUUCAGUGAAAUCAUCCCAUGUCAACUCAUUUAAUUAAAGUCCAAUUCGUAACUAAAUAGUUUAAAAAAAAUUCUAUUGGAAGAAUUUAAUAAUUUGCAAUUAUGUCUACUUAUGACGAGGUAAAAUGUUUGUUUCCGUCUCCAUAUGAUAUGGUAAAUAUUUCCAAUGCAAAAAACAUCUACAUUUAAAUGGUAUUAAUAUUAAUUUGUAUAUAUUUCCGUGAAUUCCAAUAUAUUCCUGUUAAUUCCCAUAUAUUCCCGUUAAUUCCCACAGAAAGUUUCCACUUCUGAAUUUUCCCCAAAAUGUGCAAACCUACUUGUAUUUUUCUGAUGUUCACGAUGUCACGCCCUGCCCUUAGAGAGCCAUUUUAUUUCUCUAUUUGGUUAGGUCAGGGUGUGAUGUGGGGUGGGCAUUCUAUGUUCUAUUUUCUAUGUUUUGUAUUUCUUUGUUUUGGCCGGGUAUGGUUCUUAAUCAGGGACAGCUGUAAAAUCGUUGUCUCUGAUUGGGAACCAUACUUAGGCAGCCCUUUUUCCCACCUGUCUUUGUGGGUAGUUAACUUUGUUUGUGACACAUAGCCCUUAAACUUCGUGGUUGUGUUUGUAUUGUUUAUUGUUUUUGUCGGCGUCAUCCUAUAAAAGGAAUAUGUACACUCA